AAUGACACACCAUUAGUCCAAUCACACUGACAAAUGUUAAUGCAGUUCCAACGUGGACAUCUGCCAUAAAAGUCUAUCAAACAGUGUAGUCUAGCUGCUUUCUAGGUAGCAUCCAAAAAAUGUUUUAUUUAUAAAUUAUUGGCAAGUUUAAAUUGGAAAAAAAUCUGUUCUGAUGAGAAGGUAUUACUGUAAAUGGAGCAUCCUGAUUAGUAAGCAGUUUGGUGAAAUUCCAAGACCAUAAUAACUGAGACCUGGGACAGAACAGAGCUACGGUCUUCAAAUAUCUGUGUGCAGACAGAACAGAGCCAGCACUCCUCUAAGAGCCCCACUGACUAUAUUAAUAUAUAAAAAGAGUAAUUAGAUUUUUAAAUUUAAUUAAAAUUUAUAUUACGAUCAUCACAGUGAUGUGAAUUAAUGUCAAUACUCAAUCGAUGUAUUAUAAUUAUUGUUUAUUUUCCCCCUCAUUUUUGGGUUCUGUCAUGAACUCUACCAUCUGUAUAUAUUUGUAGAUAUCUGCGCUGAUUUUAUUAAAAAAAAAGUAAAAAUAAAAACAAAAGUACCUAAAUACAAGCGGGGGUUUGGGCUUUAGAAACUCGCAAUGCAACGCAAUUUCCACGUAUAUCCACGUUUUUGGAAAAUACGCGCAGACUCAAAGAAACAUUUCUUAUGAUAGUCAGAAAAACGCAUCGCCAGAGACGACGUCGCAUGACGUGACGUUAUCAGGAAGCGCGACCAGACGCAGGAGCGUCAACAAAAACAAUGGGGGAAAAGGGUCGCGACAAACGUACUUUGCAUGAAGUCACAGAUGGACAUCUCCAUUAUAUACCCCUGGCCUGGGUACUUCAACAGCUGUCCAUCAAACUCCUGUUCGCUCUCAGAUCUCCACUCCUGUCUAUAGAUGACAGAAGACAGCAAAGCCCUCGGUCCUCUCCCCCCCUGCAGUGAACACUUCUGAUUCACCGAUAACCUGUGGUUCCAAACUCCUGGCCCGGCGUCCACUUCCGGCCCCCGAACCUCCUCACAUCUGGCCUGACGGCGACGUUAUAACAUUUUCUGCAAGCGGCUCAUCUGGGGAAAAACACACUCGCUGGAGGCUUCAAAAGUACACCUGCCAGGCCCAAAGACAACAAGAUGAGUGGUUGUCAAGAACGUCUCAAUUCAAGCAGGCAGAAAUUUCCUGUAGGUGGCGAGACAAAUCCCAAUCCCUCAGAGCUGAAGGUUAAGAAAAAGAGCAAAAAGUGAGGGGGAAAAAAAAAAGGACAAAUAGUGGUGGGAGUCCAUUGAAACAUAUGUUAUUUAGACAGUUUGAAUUGAACUUUUGAGAAAAAAAAACAAACAAAGUUUGUCAAUUCAAAUUGUUCUUUACUAGAUUAAUCAUGAUUAAUGUGCGUGUUGCUGGAACAGAAAGAUGA
Long non-coding RNA from Cynoglossus semilaevis (tongue sole), 1412 nucleotides. RefSeq lists it as uncharacterized. The transcript has 4 exons. The record is from RefSeq and is a predicted model, not a curated record. NCBI's taxonomy places the organism in Eukaryota, Metazoa, Chordata, Actinopteri, Pleuronectiformes, Cynoglossidae.